GACGAACGCUGGCGGCGUGCCUAAUACAUGCAAGUAGGACGCAGUUGCGAACGGGUGAGUAACGCGUAGGUAACUACCUAUUAGAGGGGGAUAACUAUUGGAAACGAUAGCUAAUACCGCAUACUAGUAGAUGGACCUGCGUUGUAUUAGCUAGUAGGUAGGGUAAUGGCCUACCUAGGCAACGAUACAUAGCCGACCUGGGAGGGUGAGGGGCCACACUGGGACGUAGGCACGGACGAGACUCCGACGGGAGGCAGCAGUAGGGAAGCUUAGGGAAUGGGGGGAACCCUGACCGAGCAACGCCGCGGGAGUGAAGAAGGUUUUCGGAGCGGAAAGCUCUGUUGUUAAGGAAGCGGUACUUAACCAGAAAGGGACGGCUAACUACGUGCCAGCCGCCGCGGUAAUUC
RNAcentral lists this ribosomal RNA (407 nucleotides) under uncultured bacterium. Its description in RNAcentral is "partial 16S ribosomal RNA". It matches the Rfam family "Bacterial small subunit ribosomal RNA", at positions 28 to 526 of the family's 1533-position model. The record is from RNAcentral.